This 610-nucleotide long non-coding RNA is filed under the name Homo sapiens (human). RNAcentral describes it as "HSALNT0307237". Lineage: Eukaryota; Metazoa; Chordata; Mammalia; Primates; Hominidae. The record is from RNAcentral.
GUGGGCGUAGGACCCUCCCAGCCAGGUGCCGGAUAUAAUCUCGUGGUGCGCCGGUUUUUAAGCCCGUCGGAAAAGCGCAGUAUUCAGGUGGGAGUGACCCGAUUUUCCAGGUGCCGUCUGUCACCCCUUUCUUUGACUAGGAAAGGGAACUCCCUGACCCCUUGCACUUCCCGAGUGAGGCAAUGCCUCGCCCUGCUUCAGCUCGCACAUGGUGCGCGCACCCACUGACCUGCGCCCACUGUCUGGCACUCCGUAGUGAGAUGAACCCGGUACCUCAGAUGGAAAUGCAGAAAUCACCCAUCUUCUGCGUCACUCAAGCUGGGAGCUGUAGACCGGAGCUGUUCCUAUUCGGCCAUCUUGGCUCCUCCGCUCUAUUUGCAGUUCUUAAAGGCCAAGUCUCGCCACAUGGCAUCAUUUCCUCCUCACCUGCAGAAUCGCUGUGACUUAUGGCUCCUCUGAUUGCACCUGCUUUCACCAGCAGCCCUGGAAGAGAGCUCUUCUGUGUGGAUAAGAGUUGAGAGAUCUUGGUUUCAUUACUUGUUUAAAUUGGACCCUCUCAAAUGAAUGUAAGCACAUAAUGGGGGGACUACACUAUGAGAUUAAAAGGAAU